Molecule: transfer RNA, 76 nt
Filed under: Aquincola tertiaricarbonis
Lineage: Bacteria; Pseudomonadati; Pseudomonadota; Betaproteobacteria; Burkholderiales; Sphaerotilaceae
Also listed under: 9 other names
Description: tRNA-Lys
Rfam family: tRNA
About the family: Transfer RNA (tRNA) molecules are approximately 80 nucleotides in length.
Source: RNAcentral
GGGUUGUUAGCUCAGUCGGUAGAGCAGCGGACUUUUAAUCCGUUGGUCACAGGUUCAAGUCCUGUACAACCCACCA